GCGCGAGUAGUUUAGUGGUUAACUUUAAUGUCCAUGGAUAAUUUGACCUUGCCAAGGUUGAGACCCGAGUUCGAAUCUCGGCUCGCGCA
This 89-nucleotide transfer RNA is filed under the name Candidatus Woesearchaeota archaeon. RNAcentral's name for it is "tRNA-Gly". It matches the Rfam family "tRNA". From Rfam's summary of the family: Transfer RNA (tRNA) molecules are approximately 80 nucleotides in length. Their secondary structure includes four short double-helical elements and three loops (D, anti-codon, and T loops). The record is from RNAcentral. Lineage: Archaea; Nanobdellati; Candidatus Woesearchaeota.